AGGAAACCAGUAGUAAGAUUUCCAUUUUAAAAAUGUUCGAAAUUAAGCAAAACUAACUGUGUUGCUUAGGGAUGAGUACAUACAUGGUAAAAUCAUAAUGAGGAGAAGCGUGCUUACCAUAAAAGUCAGGAUGGCGGCAUUCUCUGGGAGAAGGGCGGGGGAGCUGUGAGCAGGAAGGGACGGGAGGUGUGGUUGACAGCAGCUGAGAGUGAUAAGCAAACAUGUGUGUUUGCUUUUUGACUAUUUAUUAACCUAUAAAAGUUUGCUUAGUGUAAUUUCCUGAAUGUGUGUCAUAUUUCAAAAUAAACAAUGCUGACUUGGCUAAUUGGUUUGGCAAUGAGAACUAGCUUUGCCAUCUAGGAUAUUGGGUGGACAUUUUCCAAGGUUUGGAUGAAAAUAUGUUUAAAGCUUGCACUCAGACAAGAGCAUUUCAUCAAAAAUAUUAUGCUGAUAAAGGAGUAAGCUGCCCAUGGGGAUCACAGAGCUACGUCUGCUCCUCCGCCCUGGAGUCUUCCCUACAUGAGUGAGAACUCGUGAAUCCUGCAGCCACGUCAGCCCAAACCUCAGGAUGAAGCCAGCGUCAGGAGGAGAGAGCUGAGAGAAGCGUGGAGAAACCACGGUACCAACGCCUGCCUAGUCCUGGACUUUUCAUUCACAGGAACUAAUAUGUCUCCCGUAUUAUUUAAGCCAGUGCUAUGGUUGGAAUGUUUGUCCCCUUGAAAACUUGCGUUGAAAUUUGAUUGGCAUUGCAACAGUAUUAAGAAGAGGUGGGACCUUUAAGAGGUGAUUAGGCCGUGAGGGCUCUGCUUUCCUGGGUGAGAUUAAUGCCAUUAUAAAAGGGCAAGCUCAGCCCCCAUUUGUUUUUCUCUCGCCCUCCCUUUGCCCUUCCACCUUCCGCCAUGGGAUGACGCAGCAAGAAGGGCCUUGUCACAUGCAGGUGCCUCGAUAUUGAACUUCCCAGCUUCUAGA
Molecule: non-coding RNA, 969 nt
Organism: Microcebus murinus (gray mouse lemur)
Lineage: Eukaryota; Metazoa; Chordata; Mammalia; Primates; Cheirogaleidae
Source: RefSeq, a predicted model, not a curated record